RNAcentral lists this ribosomal RNA (428 nucleotides) under uncultured archaeon. Its description in RNAcentral is "bacterial SSU rRNA". It matches the Rfam family "Archaeal small subunit ribosomal RNA", at positions 474 to 903 of the family's 1478-position model. The record is from RNAcentral.
UACCUGCUCUCCGAGUGGUAGGGAUGAUUAUUGGGCUUAAAGCGUCCGUAGCCGGCUUAGCAAGUCUCCUGUUAAAUUCAGCGACCUAAUCGUUGAGCCGCGGGAGAUACUACUAGGCUAGGAGGCGGGAGAGGUCAACGGUACUUCCGGGGUAGGGGUGAAAUCCUAUAAUCCCGGGAGGACCACCAGUGGCGAAGGCUGUUGACUAGAACGCGCUCGACGGUGAGGGACGAAAGCUGGGGGAGCGAACCGGAUUAGAUACCCGGGUAGUCCCAGCUGUAAACGAUGCGAGCUAGGUGUUGGGGUGGCUACGUGCCACUUCAGUGCCGCAGGGAAGCCAUUAAGCUCGCCGCCUGGGGAGUACGGCCGCAAGGCUGAAACUUAAAGGAAUUGGCGGGGAGCACCACAAGGCGUGAAGCUUGCGGUUC